AUUACGAGAUUGGCUUGGCUUCUGUCGGAUGGACUUGGGGCCAGCUGCGGCGGGAGUGGAGGAGGCCAGAUAACCAUGUCAGCCACAGUUGUAGAUGCAGUUAAUGCUGCACCCCUAUCGGGGUCCAAAGAAAUGAGUUUGGAAGAACCAAAGAAGAUGACCAGAGAGGACUGGAGAAAGAAGAAGGAGCUAGAAGAACAGCGAAAAUUGGGCAAUGCUCCUGCAGAAGUUGAUGAAGAAGGAAAAGACAUCAACCCCCAUAUUCCUCAGUAUAUUUCUUCAGUGCCAUGGUAUAUUGAUCCUUCAAAAAGACCUACUUUAAAACACCAGAGACCACAACCAGAAAAACAAAAGCAGUUCAGCUCAUCUGGAGAAUGGUACAAGAGGGGUGUAAAAGAGAAUUCCAUAAUUACUAAGUACCGCAAAGGAGCAUGUGAAAAUUGUGGGGCCAUGACACACAAAAAGAAAGACUGCUUUGAGGUAAGUUCACUUUUGAAAAUUUUGAAAACCAUUGUCAGAGUCUUUCUUUUUUCUUUGUCAGAGAGCUUACUUCUCUUUUUCUGAAAUCACCUAUAUU
This 577-nucleotide small RNA is filed under the name Pongo abelii (Sumatran orangutan). Its description in RNAcentral is "retained intron". The record is from RNAcentral. Lineage: Eukaryota; Metazoa; Chordata; Mammalia; Primates; Hominidae.